CAAGACACCGGCCGCGUACUCCUUGUGAUGGUGCCAAACAAGCAGAGAAGGCAGAGUCCCUCCCACCGUGGACUUCUCACUCCUGGGAGCGAUGUCCACCCCCUUCCCGACUGCAAGAGGACUCACGCUGCUCUCAGCCUGAGGCAGAGAAGCCCUUCCUUCCGUAGAAGGCAGCAGCUAUUGCCCAGACUCCUACACGGGAACAAGUGGGGAAUAUGGGGAACAAGUGUGAGCCCUCAGCCUUAAAUGGGUUAUCUGUCAUACACACCCAAGGCCCGGAGAACAUUUGCAGAAGAAGGGCAGAAAAACAAACAAACAAACAAACCAACAAGCCAAAGAGGAAAACAAGAGCUGGAGGAUGGGAAGGAGUGUCAGGAACCUGCUUCCAGGUAGAUCUGGCACUGGUGUUGAAACCGAAGGCACACAGCUGCUAUGGCUACCUGCAGAAGACUUGGCCACAGGAGUUCCCAUCUCUGUUGAAGAACUAAAGGCAGAAUCCAGACUUAUGCUAUAUGACAUGAAAGUUGAAGGAUGACCAAUGUCAGGGGAGGAAUGGCACCCAGCCAUGGUGAGGAAGAGAGAAUAUUGGGGCAGAACCCACUACAUGUCAGGCGUGCUGCCAAGUGUUUGAGAGGAUAUACAGUUGAAGAAAUUCCCUUUCUAGGCUGAGGCUGCCAAAGCCCAUAGAGAAGGCCAACUAAUGAUGGCACCUGCAUGUCAAAAAGAACAUAGGAAA
Molecule: long non-coding RNA, 736 nt
Filed under: Mus pahari (shrew mouse)
Lineage: Eukaryota; Metazoa; Chordata; Mammalia; Rodentia; Muridae
Description: lncRNA (MGP_PahariEiJ_G0005692.1)
Source: RNAcentral